Molecule: long non-coding RNA, 1395 nt
Filed under: Anas platyrhynchos (mallard)
Lineage: Eukaryota; Metazoa; Chordata; Aves; Anseriformes; Anatidae
Description: lncRNA (ENSAPLG00020018252.1)
Source: RNAcentral
CGAAACUCAGGCAGCAAAUCCUCACCUGGAAGCAAUGAUGCUAACUUAAACAAUGCUUUUAAAUGAACCUUGGAUCUGGUCAGCAACAUUGAUUUGGUUUUGACUGAUCAAAAAAACCUUUGACUGACUCAAAAAACCUUCCAUCUUCUCGGUAUUUUCCACUUUCACUGUCUACACUGUCCUGCCCUGCAUAAAUCUUAUUUAAAAGCUAAUUUCAACACAGCAUGUGCACUUAGUGUACACUGAUCAGUGAUGAGUCAUGUUCAGCUUGAUAAGGAAAUGAAUGAAAGCCCUUACAAUUUAAAAAGACUCAGUGUUCCCAUGGCUAGACCACACAGGAAAGCUGUGUUGGAAAGCUCUAAUUUCCAAUUUCCAAGUCCCUCUAUUGUUUCUGUCAGGUGGACCUGUUUUCCUUGCAAAACGUCAAGCAAUUUUCCUAUAUUUCAGCAAUAUGCUCUGCAGACACUGGAGUUUUUCAGUUCCCUAUUCAGGUCAAAGAGAUUUCAUAAGGUCUGUAGCUAGUGUACACAAGUCUGAAAAGGAAUAAUCAGUUAUCUCAGCAUCUCAGGAAUAGGCAAGGCUCUGUCAAGACUCUUCCUCUGUGUUACAAGUACCCAUGUGCUCUUGUAAGACCUUGUGCCAGAGUACGCUGUAACUUGCAAGAAGACAUUAAACUGGAAAAUAAAAUGUCGUCCCACUUCCAGUGCUGAAGAAGCAGCUUUCAGAUUCCAAGCUGCAGAUGGUGGUCCUGUGCAACUGGUGACAACGAAUACCAGCAGACUUCUGAAUCAGGUUUGCCAGCAGUGUAUGACAGUGUUGUGUCCAUGUGUGCUGUUGUACAUCAAUGGGAAGGACUCAAGAACUUACAGUCUUUCAGGCUGGCCAUAUGAGAUCCUGUGGGCAUCCACCAUGACUGCAGUCAAGAACACUACGCAAGUCAAGAACAAAGAGCUGGAAAUAGCAGCCCUCCGUAUCCGCAGCACGGAGGAAGGGGCGCUGUGCCCGGGCACAGCGCAGCCGUGGCACCCGUGGGUUCGGUCCCUCGCUGCUUGCGCUGCCAGCAGAGCCUCGGAUCCCCCUCAGCCUGUCUGGGCUCGGUGCGUAUUGGAAUUUCAUCUCCCCAGUCUGCUCCUGCAGACUUUUUUUUUUUUUAAUUCAUGUGGAAAAAAAAUAAUAAUGAGAGGGUAAAAUAAGCGGAGCGAGAGCGAGCAUCAAUAGCCCCAGCCCGUAGGCUCAGCGCCUUCCUGCAGAGCUCCCGCAGCAGGGCCCCGCUCAGCCCCGGCGCUGCCGCAGGGCCCCGGGCAGGGGCAGCACCCAGGGGUGCUGGGCGGGGGCUGAGCCCCGCUCCCUGCCCCGAGCCUUAGGGCCACGGCCGGGGGCGCUGGCACAGCCCCG